Molecule: ribosomal RNA, 350 nt
Filed under: uncultured Pseudomonas sp.
Lineage: Bacteria; Pseudomonadati; Pseudomonadota; Gammaproteobacteria; Pseudomonadales; Pseudomonadaceae
Description: bacterial SSU rRNA
Rfam family: Bacterial small subunit ribosomal RNA
Source: RNAcentral
GCAUGGGAACUUACCCAGUCCUGGGGGAUAGCCCGGGGAAACCCGGAUUAAUACCGCAUACGCCCUGAGGGGGAAAGCGGGCUCCGGCUCGCGCUAUUGGAUGGGCCCAUGUCGGAUUAUUUUGUUGGUGAGGUAAUGGCUUACCAAGGCGACGAUCCGUAGCUGGUCUGAGAGGAUGAUCAGCCACACCGGGACUGAGACACGGCCCGGACUCCUACGGGAGGCAGCACUGGGGAAUAUUGGACAGUGGGGGCAACCCUGAUCCAGCCAUGCCGCGUGUGUGAAGAACGCCCUAGGGUUGUAAAGCACUUUCCCCAAGGGAGGAAAAACUGUCUGUUAAAACCCGCCAA